This 291-nucleotide unclassified non-coding RNA is filed under the name Bombus terrestris (buff-tailed bumblebee). Its description in RNAcentral is "misc RNA ENSBTSG00005032841.1". Lineage: Eukaryota; Metazoa; Arthropoda; Insecta; Hymenoptera; Apidae. The record is from RNAcentral.
UCGAACUUCAUCGGAUUCACAAUUAUUCUUUCGUUGUCUUCAGUUUUAAUUCGAAUAACAACUUAAGGAAAUCAAUAGAGAAGAAGAUUCGUGUAAUGUUGGCGGUGCUAGUCUACUCGUUCGCAUCGAAUAUUCUUGCUCAUUAAAUCGGAAUGAUGGAACCGUACAAAUGCUGUAGAUGAAUAUUAAUGACUGCCAUCUGGAGUUAAGAAUAUUUGGAUGAUGUCAGGAGCAAGGAUAACGGUAUGAUGUAUAAAUUAUAUAAUAUAAUAUAUGCUAGAUUUAUUUUAG